This 479-nucleotide ribosomal RNA is filed under the name Acrapex albivena. RNAcentral's name for it is "partial 16S large subunit ribosomal RNA". Lineage: Eukaryota; Metazoa; Arthropoda; Insecta; Lepidoptera; Noctuidae. The record is from RNAcentral.
UGUCUUUUUGAAAAUAAUAUAAAGUCUAAUCUGCCCACUGAUUAAAUAAUUAAAGGGCUGCAGUAUAUUGACUGUACAAAGGUAGCAUAAUCAUUAGUCAUUUAAUUGAUGACUUGUAUGAAGGAUUUGAUGAAAUAUAAACUGUCUCUUAUUUAAUUAUAAAAUUUAAUUUUUUUAUUAAAAAGUUAAAAUAUCUUAAAAAGACGAGAAGACCCUAUAGAGUUUAAUAAAUUAUUAGAUUGAGAUUAUAUGUAAAACAAAUUUAAAAUAAAAUUAUUUAUUUUGUUGGGGUGAUAAAAAAAUACAUUAAACUUUUUUUUUAUUUUAAAACAUUUAUAAGUGAUUAAAUGAUCCAAUAAUAUUGAUUAUGAGAAAAAAUUACCUUAGGGAUAACAGCGUAAUUUUUUUUUUUAGUUCAAAUAAGAAAAAGAGUUUGCGACCUCGAUGUUGGAUUAAGAUAAAAUUUAAAUGUAGAAGUU